AACGAACGCUGGCGGCAGGCCUAACACAUGCAAGUCGAACGCCGUAGCAAUACGGAGUGGCAGACGGGCGAGUAACACGUGGGAACGUACCCUUCGGUUCGGGAUAACUCAGGGAAACUUGAGCUAAUACCGGAUACGUCCGAGAGGAGAAAGAUUUAUUGCCGAGGGAUCGGCCCGCGUCUGAUUAGCUUGUUGGUGAGGUAACGGCUCACCAAGGCGACGAUCAGUAGCUGGCUGAGAGGAUGAUCAGCCACAUUGGGACUGAGACACGGCCCAAACUCCUACGGGAGGCAGCAGGUGGGGAAUAUUGGACAAUGGGCGCAAGCCUGAUCCAGCCAUGCCGCGUGAGUGAUGAAGGCCCUAGGGUUGUAAA
This 373-nucleotide ribosomal RNA is filed under the name uncultured bacterium. RNAcentral describes it as "bacterial SSU rRNA". It matches the Rfam family "Bacterial small subunit ribosomal RNA", at positions 29 to 429 of the family's 1533-position model. The record is from RNAcentral.